Molecule: transfer RNA, 76 nt
Filed under: Cordylochernes scorpioides
Lineage: Eukaryota; Metazoa; Arthropoda; Arachnida; Pseudoscorpiones; Chernetidae
Description: tRNA-Thr
Rfam family: tRNA (bases 11-67)
About the family: Transfer RNA (tRNA) molecules are approximately 80 nucleotides in length.
Source: RNAcentral
ACCUAAAGGCAGCCUAGUGGACAUGGCAUCUGCCCGGUAAGCGGAACACUGUGGGUUCGAUUCCCAUCCCUGGACA